RNAcentral lists this ribosomal RNA (253 nucleotides) under uncultured bacterium. RNAcentral describes it as "partial 16S ribosomal RNA". It matches the Rfam family "Bacterial small subunit ribosomal RNA", at positions 524 to 776 of the family's 1533-position model. The record is from RNAcentral.
UACGUAGGGUGCAAGCGUUGUCCGGAAUUACUGGGCGUAAAGCGUGCGUAGACGGUAGCGUAAGUCAGAUGUGAAAGCCCCGGGCUCAACCUGGGAAUUGCAUUUGAGACUGCUCUGCUCGGGUGCGGAAGAGGGAAGCGGAAUUUCCGGUGUAGCGGUGAAAUGCGUAGAUAUCGGAAGGAACACCAGUGGCGAAAGCGGCUUCCUGGUCCGACACCGACGUUCAGGCACGAAAGCGUGGGGAGCAAACAGG